ACUCAAAUGAAUUGACGGGGGCCCGCACAAGCGGCGGAGCAUGCGGAUUAAUUCGAUGCAACGCGAAGAACCUUACCUGGGUUUGACAUAUGCCGGAAACGUCUGGAGACAGGCGCCCUUUUAGUCGGUAUACAGGUGGUGCAUGGCUGUCGUCAGCUCGUGUCGUGAGAUGUUGGGUUAAGUCCCGCAACGAGCGCAACCCUCGUUCCAUGUUGCCAGCAGCGUCCUUCGGGGCGGCUGGGGACUCAUGGGAGACUGCCGGGGUCAACUCGGAGGAAGGUGGGGAUGACGUCAAGUCAUCAUGCCCCUUAUGUCCAGGGCUUCACGCAUGCUACAAUGGCCGGUACAAAGGGUUGCGAUGCCGUGAGGCGGAGCGAAUCCCAAAAAGCCGGUCUCAGUUCGGAUUGGGGUCUGCAACUCGACCCCAUGAAGUCGGAGUCGCUAGUAAUCGCAGAUCAGCAACGCUGCGGUGAAUACGUUCCCGGGCCUUGCACACACCGCCCGU
RNAcentral lists this ribosomal RNA (505 nucleotides) under uncultured bacterium. RNAcentral describes it as "partial 16S ribosomal RNA". It matches the Rfam family "Bacterial small subunit ribosomal RNA", at positions 899 to 1397 of the family's 1533-position model. The record is from RNAcentral.